This 513-nucleotide ribosomal RNA is filed under the name Lophops carinata. Its description in RNAcentral is "partial 16S ribosomal RNA". It matches the Rfam family "Archaeal large subunit ribosomal RNA", at positions 1889 to 2655 of the family's 2987-position model. The record is from RNAcentral. Lineage: Eukaryota; Metazoa; Arthropoda; Insecta; Hemiptera; Lophopidae.
CACCUGUUUAUCAAAAACAUGUCUUUAAGAUUUAUAUUUAAAGUCUAACCUGCUCAAUGAAUUUUAAAUAGCCGCAGUAUUUUAACUGUGUAAAGGUAGCAUAAUAAUUAGUCUUUUAAUUGAGGUCUGGAAUGAAUGGUUGAAUGAGAAACUUGUUUUAUUAAAUAAAUUUUUUUGAAUUUAAGUUUCUAGUUAAAAUUCUAGAAUAAUUAAGAGGGACGAUAAGACCCUAUAGAUCUUAAUAAUAUAAAUAAUUAAUAAAAUUUUAGAUUAUAUAUUGGUAAUUUUUUUUUUUAUUUUGUUGGGGUGAUAGCUAAAAUUUUAAACUUUAGUUUUUUUUAACAAUAAUUUUUGUGUAAUUUGAUCUUUUAUUUUGAUUAUAAGAUAAAGAUACCUUAGGGAUAACAGCGUUAUUCAUUUGAAGAGUCCAUAUCUGUAAAUGAGUUUGCGACCUCGAUGUUGGAUUAAAAUAAAUUUGUGGGGUAGGUUCUACAAUUUUAGGUCUGUUCGACC